Molecule: non-coding RNA, 130 nt
Organism: Aegilops tauschii subsp. strangulata
Lineage: Eukaryota; Viridiplantae; Streptophyta; Magnoliopsida; Poales; Poaceae
Source: RefSeq, a predicted model, not a curated record
GUUGAAGGUUUGAAGUAGCUACGAUGCGUUAUAAAAAAGAAAAACAGGAAGAAUAAAAGAGGGUAAGCACGCACGUACGUACGUAUGAGGUGUACGUGCACUCCCUCAAAUCAAAUCAAUCGAAGAAAAA